Molecule: transfer RNA, 69 nt
Filed under: Corynorhinus rafinesquii (Rafinesque's big-eared bat)
Lineage: Eukaryota; Metazoa; Chordata; Mammalia; Chiroptera; Vespertilionidae
Description: tRNA-Ser
Rfam family: tRNA
About the family: Transfer RNA (tRNA) molecules are approximately 80 nucleotides in length. Their secondary structure includes four short double-helical elements and three loops (D, anti-codon, and T loops).
Source: RNAcentral
AGGGGAGACAUAAUGGCUAUGAUGUUGGCUUGAAACCAAUCUUUGGGGGUUCGAAUCCCUCCUCUCUUG